AUGAACGCUGGCGGCGUGCCUAAUACAUGCAAGUCGAGCGAACAGAUGAGGAGCUUGCUCCUCUGACGUUAGCGGCGGACGGGUGAGUAACACGUGGAUAACCUACCUAUAAGACUGGGAUAACUUCGGGAAACCGGAGCUAAUACCGGAUAAUAUAUUUAACCGCAUGGUUCAAUAGUGAAAGACGGUUUUGCUGUCACUUAUAGAUGGAUCCGCGCCGCAUUAGCUAGUUGGUAAGGUAACGGCUUACCAAGGCAACGAUGCGUAGCCGACCUGAGAGGGUGAUCGGACACACUAGAACUGAGACACGGUCCAGACUCCUACGGGAGGCAGCAGUAGGGAAUCUUCCGCAAUGGGCGAAAGCCUGACGGAGCAACGCCGCGUGAGUGAUGAAGGUCUUCGGAUCGUAAAACUCUGUUAUUAGGGAAGAACAAAUGUGUAAGUAACUAUGCACGUCUUGACGGUACCUAAUCAGAAAGCCACGGCUAACUACGUG
RNAcentral lists this ribosomal RNA (496 nucleotides) under uncultured bacterium. RNAcentral's name for it is "partial 16S ribosomal RNA". It matches the Rfam family "Bacterial small subunit ribosomal RNA", at positions 29 to 507 of the family's 1533-position model. The record is from RNAcentral.